Molecule: ribosomal RNA, 253 nt
Filed under: uncultured bacterium
Lineage: Bacteria
Description: partial 16S ribosomal RNA
Rfam family: Bacterial small subunit ribosomal RNA
Source: RNAcentral
UACGUAGGGGGCUAGCGUUGUCCGGAAUCAUUGGGCGUAAAGCGCGCGUAGGCGGCCCGGUAAGUCCGCUGUGAAAGUCAAAGGCUCAACCUUUGAAUGUCAGCGGAUACUGCCAGGCUAGAGUCCGGAAGAGGCGAGUGGAACUCCUGGUGUAGCGGUGGAAUGCGCAGAUAUCAGGAAGAACACCGACGGCGAAGGCAGCUCGCUGGGACGGUACUGACGCUGAGGCGCGAAAGCAUGGGUAGCGAACAGG